Molecule: long non-coding RNA, 388 nt
Organism: Ictalurus punctatus (channel catfish)
Lineage: Eukaryota; Metazoa; Chordata; Actinopteri; Siluriformes; Ictaluridae
Source: Ensembl
CUCAAGUGUAAAGCUGUAACCUUGUGUUUAUUUAACAUCUAGGUGUGAACUGUGUACAUUUGUAAGAGAUAAGUGCAUUUCAUCCAUUACUUCUUAUUCUCGAUCUUAUUUCCAACCCACAGAAAUACGUCAGUUCACAGAUAAAGAAGAUAGGAACUGAAUGAAGUCGUUCGUACGAUUAGUUAGCACAAACAGCUGUAGCUCUUCUGAGCUACACCCUGCUUUUUCAAUCACACCACCGAAUCAUUUCCCAUUUUUUUUGUUGCAUCAAUGAAACGCUCUUCCGUGUUCUUUUACCUCCAACAGAACUCAAAAGUGAAUGUCUGAACUCCUCCUCAGAGCGCUUGUUUUUAUUCUCCACGCUGAUCUGCAUGGCCGUGUACUUUUA